This is a long non-coding RNA of Pseudopipra pipra, 927 nucleotides long. RefSeq lists it as uncharacterized. The record is from RefSeq and is a predicted model, not a curated record. NCBI's taxonomy places the organism in Eukaryota, Metazoa, Chordata, Aves, Passeriformes, Pipridae. The transcript is spliced from 3 exons.
GUUGUUGUCACUGAGGAGUCAAACUCUGCUUUAAAUCAUGAGACACUGGCCUAGUGGACAAGUGUCAAGAAUAAAGAGGGAAUGAUACCUGAGUGUUGAGAUGUAACAAGAGCUGAUCCUUUUUGCAGUGGGAUGUAGACUGGAAACCGCACAGAACUGAGCCAAGGGAUUGAAAGGGACCAACCAAAGGAGGUGAAGAAAGAAGGAAGAAGGGAAGUGAGGCAGUAGACAAGCAGCACCAAGUUGCUGUGUAAGCAGGGAAUAACUCCUGUCAGCAGCAAGGUCCUGACUGAAGUGGCAGCUGCAGUUGUUCCUGUGGUGUGGGCCAGUGGAAUUGCAGGAGAGUGGAAGAGGGCAGAACCUGACGUGAAUGCAAGAACCUGCUAAGAAACCAAUGACCAAGAUGAUUGAUCAGUGCAGGACCUGAGAGAACCACCUUCAAUGACAACCUUAGGUUUAAAAGAUGGCUGUUGCUUUUGAAGGAGAAAAUCUGGAAAGCAGGAAGGAAGAAAAGAAGCCCCCUGACUCCUCCCUGAGCCCCAGACAGCCCAUGAACUGCCUUGCUGGGAAUGGUAGGACAGGAUGGACUCUGGAUUGCUCCCUCUGGAUGUGUGGUAAGACUUUUAUACCAGCUUUUAAGAACAGCCUGUAAGCAUUUGCUGCCUUGGCUAGAUGGUGCAAGGGCAGCUUUUAAGCAGCUGAAGCAUUCCCUGAGGAGAGCUCUGGGUCUGCUAGAUGUCUCAGAACUGUUUGGAAGCAUCUUUGGUGGGGAGGGCAAACAAAGGACAAGGUGUGCAGUGACCCCCCUGAGAAGGGACUUGGAGUUAAUGGCAUCCCUGCAAGUGAACUUUGUGGGCUGUUCCCCCUGUAGGGCAGGUGAUAGUCCCAGCUACAGUGAUGGGAAAAAUGGUUAAAAGAGAGCCCAAA